This 433-nucleotide ribosomal RNA is filed under the name uncultured bacterium. RNAcentral's name for it is "partial 16S ribosomal RNA". It matches the Rfam family "Bacterial small subunit ribosomal RNA", at positions 29 to 507 of the family's 1533-position model. The record is from RNAcentral.
AACGAACGCUGGCGGCAGGCUUAACACAUGCAAGUCGAGCGGGCCCUCCGGGGUCAGCGGCAGACGGGUGAGUAACACGUCGGAACGUACCUUUUUGUUUGGAACAACUCCGGGACACUGGAGCUAAUACCGGAUAAGCCCUUAUGGGGAAAGAUUUAUCGCCAAAAGAUCGGCCCGCGUCGGAUUAGCUAGUUGGGGGGGUAACGGCCCACCAAGGCGUCGAUCAGUAGCUGGUCUGAGAGGCUGAUCCGCCACACUGGGACUGAGACACGGCCCAGACUCCUACGGGAGGCAGCAGUGGGGAAUAUUGGACAAUGGGCGCAAGCCUGAUCCAGCCAUGCCGCGUGAGUGAUGAAGGCCGUAGAGUUGUAAAGCUCUUUUGUCCGGGAAGAUAAUGACUGUACCGGAAGAAUAAGCCCCGGCUAACUUCGUG